Molecule: long non-coding RNA, 240 nt
Filed under: Fukomys damarensis (Damara mole-rat)
Lineage: Eukaryota; Metazoa; Chordata; Mammalia; Rodentia; Bathyergidae
Description: lncRNA (ENSFDAG00000022808.1)
Source: RNAcentral
GUUUUAGCCUAUGUAUACUCCACCCUGAAAAACAAACGGGGCCUUGCUAUGAAGAGAGCAUGAGCCUGGAACCAAAAGGUUCUGCAGCCACUGAGAAGACAACUUAAAGAAAUUGAAACCUGUGCAACAACAGGAAGCGCUAAGAAGUUUCCAUGUCUGCUUGAGUCUAGAACCAACACCUACAAAUAUCUCCAACCCAAGUCUAUCCUCUCAAGAAUUAGCUGCUGCUCUAUUAAUUCC